AUGGCGUCCCUCACCACCACCACCGCCUCCUCGCCGGCCGCCCUGCCCGCGGCGGCCUCCGCCGCCCCGGCCACGGCCUCGUCCGUCUCGCCCACCGCGGCCGCCUCCAAGCGCCCGCACCUCGCCGGCGACGACGCGCCCUGGCGCGUCGCGGCCGCCGGCUCCGCCGGAAUCCGCCCCGUCCCGCGCAUCCACCACGCCCCCGUCCUCCGCGUCGCCCAGGACGACUCCUCCGCCUACGCCCUCGCCAUCAUGAGGAAUCCGGAUCCGAUAGGGAUGGGGCUGGCCAUGGAGGCCGUAGCUGAGGCUGCUGGCCCGGAGUGCCUCGUGCCCGGCCAGCAGGCGCCUCUGCGGCUGAUGGGACUCAAGGUUUGGCCCCUAGAUAUAGAGAUGAAGUUCUUGGAACCAUUUGGCCGGGAAUUACACUCCAUGAAGAAGUUCAUGGACAAAUCAUGCAGCGUCAUGGACUCAUCUUCUAUAGCACAUAAGUAG
Molecule: ribosomal RNA, 492 nt
Filed under: Triticum aestivum (bread wheat)
Lineage: Eukaryota; Viridiplantae; Streptophyta; Magnoliopsida; Poales; Poaceae
Description: partial small subunit ribosomal RNA
Source: RNAcentral